This 252-nucleotide ribosomal RNA is filed under the name uncultured bacterium. Its description in RNAcentral is "partial small subunit ribosomal RNA". It matches the Rfam family "Bacterial small subunit ribosomal RNA", at positions 26 to 285 of the family's 1533-position model. The record is from RNAcentral.
AGGACGAACGCUGGCGGCGUGCUUAACACAUGCAAGUCGAGCGGAAAGGCCCUUCGGGGUACUCGAGCGGCGAACGGGUGAGUAACACGUGAGCAACCUGCCCUUAGCUUCGGGAUAGCUCCGGGAAACCGGAAUUAAUACCGAAUAUGAUUUUGCUGACAUCAGCAGAAGUGGAAAGUUUUCGGCUAGGGAUGGACUCGCGGCCUAUCAGCUAGUUGGUGAGGUAACGGCCCACCAAGGCGACGACGGGUA